GAUGAACGCUGGCGGCGUGCCUAAUACAUGCAAGUCGAGCGAACAGACGAGGAGCUUGCUCCUCUGACGUUAGCGGCGGACGGGUGAGUAACACGUGGAUAACCUACCUAUAAGACUGGGAUAACUUCGGGAAACCGGAGCUAAUACCGGAUAAUAUAUUGAACCGCAUGGUUCAAUAGUGAAAGACGGUUUUGCUGUCACUUAUAGAUGGAUCCGCGCCGCAUUAGCUAGUUGGUAAGGUAACGGCUUACCAAGGCAACUAUGCGUAGCCGACCUGAGAGGGUGAUCGGCCACCCUGGAACUGAGACACGGUCCAGACUCCUACGGGAGGCAGCAGUAGGGAAUCUUCCGCAAUGGGCGAAAGCCUUACGGAGCGACGCCGCGUGAGUGAUGAAGGUCUUCGGAUCGUAAAACUCUGUUAUUAGGGAAGAACAAAUGUGUAAGUAACUAUGCACGUCUUGACGGUACCUAGUCAGAAAGCCACGGCUAACUACGUG
This 497-nucleotide ribosomal RNA is filed under the name uncultured bacterium. RNAcentral describes it as "partial 16S ribosomal RNA". It matches the Rfam family "Bacterial small subunit ribosomal RNA", at positions 28 to 507 of the family's 1533-position model. The record is from RNAcentral.